Molecule: ribosomal RNA, 956 nt
Filed under: Arenibacter echinorum
Lineage: Bacteria; Pseudomonadati; Bacteroidota; Flavobacteriia; Flavobacteriales; Flavobacteriaceae
Description: bacterial SSU rRNA
Rfam family: Bacterial small subunit ribosomal RNA
Source: RNAcentral
CCGCGUGCAGGAAGACGGUCCUAUGGAUUGUAAACUGCUUUUGUACGGGAAGAACAAGGGGCACGUGUGCCCUUCUGACGGUACCGUAAGAAUAAGGAUCGGCUAACUCCGUGCCAGCAGCCGCGGUAAUACGGAGGAUCCGAGCGUUAUCCGGAAUCAUUGGGUUUAAAGGGUCCGUAGGCGGGCCAUUAAGUCAGGGGUGAAAGUCUGCGGCUCAACCGUAGAAUUGCCCUUGAUACUGGUGGUCUUGAGUUAUGGUGAAGUAACUAGAAUAUGUAGUGUAGCGGUGAAAUGCAUAGAUAUUACAUAGAAUACCGAUUGCGAAGGCAGGUUACUAACCAUAUACUGACGCUGAUGGACGAAAGCGUGGGGAGCGAACAGGAUUAGAUACCCUGGUAGUCCACGCCGUAAACGAUGGAUACUAGCUGUCCGGGUGCAAAUCUGGGCGGCCAAGCGAAAGUGAUAAGUAUCCCACCUGGGGAGUACGUCCGCAAGGAUGAAACUCAAAGGAAUUGACGGGGGCCCGCACAAGCGGUGGAGCAUGUGGUUUAAUUCGAUGAUACGCGAGGAACCUUACCAGGGCUUAAAUGUGGUCUGACAGCUUUAGAGAUAGAGCCUCCUUCGGGCAGAUCACAAGGUGCUGCAUGGUUGUCGUCAGCUCGUGCCGUGAGGUGUCAGGUUAAGUCCUAUAACGAGCGCAACCCCUGCCGUUAGUUGCCAGCAUGUAAAGAUGGGGACUCUAACGGGACUGCCGGUGCAAACCGCGAGGAAGGUGGGGAUGACGUCAAAUCAUCACGGCCCUUACGUCCUGGGCCACACACGUGCUACAAUGGCCGGUACAGAGAGCAGCCACUGGGCAACCAGGAGCGAAUCUAUAAAACCGGUCACAGUUCGGAUCGGGGUCUGCAACUCGACCCCGUGAAGCUGGAAUCGCUAGUAAUCGGAUAUCAGCCAUG